This 470-nucleotide ribosomal RNA is filed under the name uncultured bacterium. Its description in RNAcentral is "partial 16S ribosomal RNA". It matches the Rfam family "Bacterial small subunit ribosomal RNA", at positions 28 to 507 of the family's 1533-position model. The record is from RNAcentral.
GGUGAACGCUGGCGGCGUGCCUAAGACAUGCAAGUCGAGCGGGGCAGGUUUAUACCUGUUCAGCGGCGGACGGGUGAGUAACGCGUGGGUGACCUACCCGGAAGAGGCGGACAACCUGGGGAAACCCAGGCUAAUCCGCCAUGUGGUCCUGUCCUGUGGGGCAGGACUAAAGGGUGGAUAGCCCGCUUCCGGAUGGGCCCGCGUCCCAUCAGCUAGUUGGUGGGGUAAAGGCCCACCAAGGCGACGACGGGUAGCCGGUCUGAGAGGAUGGCCGGCCACAGGGGCACUGCGACACGGGCCCCACUCCUACGGGAGGCAGCAGUUAGGAAUCUGCCGCAAUGGACGGAAGUCUGACGGAGCGACGCCGCUUGGAGGAGGAAGCCCUGCGGGGUGUAAACUCCUGAACUGGGGACGAAAGCCCUGUGUAGGGGGAUGACGGGACCCAGGUAAUAGCGCCGGCCAACUCCGUG